This 506-nucleotide ribosomal RNA is filed under the name uncultured bacterium. RNAcentral's name for it is "partial 16S ribosomal RNA". It matches the Rfam family "Bacterial small subunit ribosomal RNA", at positions 29 to 523 of the family's 1533-position model. The record is from RNAcentral.
AGUGAACGCUGGCGGUAGGCCUAACACAUGCAAGUCGAACGGCAGCACAGGAGAGCUUGCUCUCUGGGUGGCGAGUGGCGGACGGGUGAGGAAUACAUCGGAAUCUACUCUGUCGUGGGGGAUAACGUAGGGAAACUUACGCUAAUACCGCAUACGACCUACGGGUGAAAGCAGGGGAUCUUCGGACCUCGCGCGAUUGAAUGAGCCGAUGUCGGAUUAGCUAGUUGGCGGGGUAAAGGCCCACCAAGGCGACUAUCCGUAGCUGGUCUGAGAGGAUGAGCAGCCACACUGGAACUGAGACACGGUCCAGACUCCUACGGGAGGCAGCAGUGGGGAAUAUUGGACAAUGGGCGCAAGCCUGAUCCAGCCAUACCGCGUGGGUGAAGAAGGCCUUCGGGUUGUAAAGCCCUCUUGUUGGGAAAGAAAUCCAGCUGGCUAAUACCCGGUUGGGAUGACGGUACCCAAAGAGUAAGCACCGGCUAACUUCGUGCCAGCCGCCGCAGUAA